CAUGGCUCAGGAUGAACGCUGGCGGCGUGCCUAAUACAUGCAAGUCGAGCGAAUGGAUUAAGAGCUUGCUCUUAUGAAGUUAGCGGCGGACGGGUGAGUAACACGUGGGUAACCUGCCCAUAAGACUGGGAUAACUCCGGGAAACCGGGGCUAAUACCGGAUAACAUUUUGAACCGCAUGGUUCGAAAUUGAAAGGCGGCUUCGGCUGUCACUUAUGGAUGGACCCGCGUCGCAUUAGCUAGUUGGUGAGGUAACGGCUCACCAAGGCAACGAUGCGUAGCCGACCUGAGAGGGUGAUCGGCCACACUGGGACUGAGACACGGCCCAGACUCCUACGGGAGGCAGCAGUAGGGAAUCUUCCGCAAUGGACGAAAGUCUGACGGAGCAACGCCGCGUGAGUGAUGAAGGCUUUCGGGUCGUAAAACUCUGUUGUUAGGGAAGAACAAGUGCUAGUUGAAUAAGCUGGCACCU
This 471-nucleotide ribosomal RNA is filed under the name Bacillus sp. GR1-3. Its description in RNAcentral is "bacterial SSU rRNA". It matches the Rfam family "Bacterial small subunit ribosomal RNA", at positions 18 to 480 of the family's 1533-position model. The record is from RNAcentral. Lineage: Bacteria; Bacillati; Bacillota; Bacilli; Caryophanales; Bacillaceae.